GGGGCGGGGGCACCUACGGGAGGCAGCAGUGGGGAAUUGUUCGCAAUGGGCGCAAGCCUGACGACGCAACGCCGCGUGGAGGAUGAAGACCUUCGGGUCGUAAACUCCUUUCGAUCGAGACGAAUGGCUUCCGGGUGAACAAUCCGGGAGAAUGACGGUACCGAGAGAAGAAGCCCCGGCUAACUCCGGUGCCA
RNAcentral lists this ribosomal RNA (194 nucleotides) under uncultured bacterium. RNAcentral describes it as "partial 16S ribosomal RNA". It matches the Rfam family "Bacterial small subunit ribosomal RNA", at positions 326 to 510 of the family's 1533-position model. The record is from RNAcentral.